UGGGGGAUAACGUCCGGAAACGGGCGCUAAUACCGCAUACGUCCUACGGGAGAAAGUGGGGGAUCUUCGGACCUCACGCUAUUAGAUGAGCCUAGGUCGGAUUAGCUAGUUGGUGAGGUAAUGGCUCACCAAGGCGACGAUCCGUAACUGGUCUGAGAGGAUGAUCAGUCACACUGGAACUGAGACACGGUCCAGACUCCUACGGGAGGCAGCAGUGGGGAAUAUUGGACAAUGGGCGAAAGCCUGAUCCAGCCAUGCCGCGUGUGUGAAGAAGGUCUUCGGAUUGUAAAGCACUUUAAGUUGGGAGGAAGGGCAGUUACCUAAUACGUGAUUGUUUUGACGUUACCGACAGAAUAAGCACCGGCUAACUCUGUGCCAGCAGCCGCGGUAAUACAGAGGGUGCAAGCGUUAAUCGGAAUUACUGGGCGUAAAGCGCGCGUAGGUGGUUUGUUAAGUUGGAUGUGAAAGCCCCGGGCUCAACCUGGGAACUGCAUCCAAAACUGGCAAGCUAGAGUAUGGUAGAGGGUGGUGGAAUUUCCUGUGUAGCGGUGAAAUGCGUA
RNAcentral lists this ribosomal RNA (560 nucleotides) under Pseudomonas sp. C10-8. RNAcentral's name for it is "bacterial SSU rRNA". It matches the Rfam family "Bacterial small subunit ribosomal RNA", at positions 137 to 692 of the family's 1533-position model. Lineage: Bacteria; Pseudomonadati; Pseudomonadota; Gammaproteobacteria; Pseudomonadales; Pseudomonadaceae. The record is from RNAcentral.